AGAGUUUGAUCAUGGCUCAGGAUGAACGCUAGCGGCAGGCUUAACACAUGCAAGUCGAGGGGCAGCGCGGGUAGCAAUACCUGGCGGCGACCGGCAAACGGGUGCGGAACACGUACGCAAUUUACCUUUAUCUGGGGUAUAGCCCGGAGAAAUCCGGAUUAAUUCCCCAUAGCAUACCGGUGCGGCAUCGCACUGAUAUU
This 200-nucleotide ribosomal RNA is filed under the name uncultured bacterium. RNAcentral describes it as "partial 16S ribosomal RNA". It matches the Rfam family "Bacterial small subunit ribosomal RNA", at positions 8 to 202 of the family's 1533-position model. The record is from RNAcentral.